Molecule: long non-coding RNA, 1269 nt
Filed under: Bemisia tabaci
Lineage: Eukaryota; Metazoa; Arthropoda; Insecta; Hemiptera; Aleyrodidae
Description: lncRNA ENSSSA1NGG012742
Source: RNAcentral
GAAAGGAUGUAUCAUCAAUUAACUUCUAUUGUUACCUCUAUUCAAUAAAACUUUCUCAUAGUACUGGAAAUUUGGUUUGAUUCUAUACACUAAUUUGAGAUGGGGCAUUCCCCAGGGUAUCAGUCCGAAGACGUUGUUUCAGUCACAAUUGUCAUUGUCAUUUAGCAUUCCACUGCAUGAUGUAAACAUGAUGUGUCCCAAGUAUGUAAAGCUUAGGUACAUUAACCCAUCUUCCUCCUUCACCUUAUUUUAUUGGGCGCUAUUGAUUUUUAAUACUUCACAACUUAUCUCCUUUUGAUUUUGGUAAGCUCUAAUGAACAUUGACGCUAUGUUAAUGAUGGUUUAAUUUAUCAAUUCAUUUUCUAGCUUUAUAUGAAACUUCCAAGAGUAGUAGGUAGGAAAUCGUUCAUCAUCGGGUGUCCAUUAUUUUCAGCGAAUCAUUCUGUUGUUUUUCCUCUGUUUCAGAUUAGUAUAUCAGGUAGUCCGGUUUAGAUCUGAUAUGGAGACAGAAUUUCUUCAUGAUUAUGAGAACUUUUCCAAUUUUGGCUCACAGGGUAGCGGACUAAACUUGAGUGGGACGUUCUUUGAAAAAGUCAGUGAUCAUGAAUUAGCCUUCCAAGAUGACAUUCCGCAACCAGAUUAUUGGCUCUCACCCCUUGAUGACUAUGGCUCAUCAUCCUUAUCACCACUGCGCUUUCUUUGAGAGGAGACAGCUGUGAUUUUUCGCUUAGAGACUUGAAUCAUGCGUUUGAUGCAACAGAAUUCAAGCCAGAAGAUUUUAACAACUUUGAUUCCUGGAAUUCAGCAACUGAUGAAUUAACAGGAUACCCAGAUUUUCUAUCCAUCAAACAAGAUCCUGAUCAAAACUUUUGUGAUAGUAUACACGAUGCACUAGCUGACUCCUACUCGCAAACAGAAUUUUUUCCAACAGAAGAUGAAAGUCAUAUUGAUGUGGAAACUGUGGAUACUACCUCAGAUGCCUUGGAGCGCAAAAGUGGGCGUCAGUCAUUCCAGCCAUCUGUUUCUUCACCAGUGAGGUCUAACCUUGCAGCCAAACCUGUUAAGCCGUGCUCACUUCUAGAGAAGCAUUUACGAAGCCCUAUCGAGACUAUAAUUAAUGCCGCUCAAAGACCUAACUCUUUAAAUAGCUGUACCAAAUUGAAUAACUGUAGAAUUAUUAGAGAGUCUUCAAUUGAGUCUUCCAGUCCAACUAAGCAUAAUGCUCGCAAGCAUAAAAUCCCCAUUGCUCAAGCUAUCCCAGGCAAAAAA